This 570-nucleotide ribosomal RNA is filed under the name uncultured Roseateles sp. Its description in RNAcentral is "bacterial SSU rRNA". It matches the Rfam family "Bacterial small subunit ribosomal RNA", at positions 202 to 763 of the family's 1533-position model. Lineage: Bacteria; Pseudomonadati; Pseudomonadota; Betaproteobacteria; Burkholderiales; Sphaerotilaceae. The record is from RNAcentral.
GAUCGCAAGACCUCGCGCGAUUGGAGCGGCCGAUAUCAGAUUAGGUAGUUGGUGAGGUAAAGGCUCACCAAGCCGACGAUCUGUAGCUGGUCUGAGAGGACGACCAGCCACACUGGGACUGAGACACGGCCCAGACUCCUACGGGAGGCAGCAGUGGGGAAUUUUGGACAAUGGGCGCAAGCCUGAUCCAGCCAUGCCGCGUGCGGGAAGAAGGCCUUCGGGUUGUAAACCGCUUUUGUCAGGGAAGAAAAGGUUCUGGCUAAUACCUGGGACUCAUGACGGUACCUGAAGAAUAAGCACCGGCUAACUACGUGCCAGCAGCCGCGGUAAUACGUAGGGUGCAAGCGUUAAUCGGAAUUACUGGGCGUAAAGCGUGCGCAGGCGGUUAUGCAAGACAGAGGUGAAAUCCCCGGGCUCAACCUGGGAACUGCCUUUGUGACUGCAUGGCUAGAGUACGGUAGAGGGGGAUGGAAUUCCGCGUGUAGCAGUGAAAUGCGUAGAUAUGCGGAGGAACACCGAUGGCGAAGGCAAUCCCCUGGACCUGUACUGACGCUCAUGCACGAAAGCGUG